This 1894-nucleotide long non-coding RNA is filed under the name Chrysemys picta bellii (western painted turtle). RNAcentral describes it as "lncRNA (ENSCPBG00000008625.1)". Lineage: Eukaryota; Metazoa; Chordata; Testudines; Emydidae. The record is from RNAcentral.
UAGGCGGCUCUAAUCUACACCGGGGCCAGGACUGGCAUAGAACCAACCCCAGAAUCAAGGAGCUGUAACCCAUUCUUUUGUUGCCCAUCCCAGGGCUGCAGCCAGCUAACAUAACAUACAGCCAGACUCUACGCUUUAGAUUUUGUUAUUGUUUGUGGUACACCUAAAUAAUGUUUUCUAUGCCUUUAUAGUCUAUUGACGCUCCUUAAGGAAUAUUGAUCCUAUUUUCUAUCCCUUCAUAUCCCACCACAUUACUACAGUGAUUGUUCAAGAAGAGCUGUUCAGAUUUUCUGUUUUGUUAUUUUCUUCCUAACUCAGUUCCUUUUGACACCAGCUCAUUGUCGUGUGGUUUGUUGCUUUUUUCUAUUUUUAUUUUUUUAACUCCUUUGGAAUUUCCAGCAUUUUCCUUUCCUGUCUACUCUUCAUGAUAAGAGAAUUUCAAAAACAUCUGCACCCUAUCAGGAUUAUCACAGGGCAUAUAAAACUGAACACAAGGAGUACAAAAAUGCUUGAUGGCAGAGCUUCAUGUCCUCCAGGAAGUGACCUGGCAACCAUCUGGGCUCCCUGGAGUUUCAGAGUUUAAAAACAGGUUUGAAUCUUCAUUUCUAACGCAUCAGUGACCCUGUUUGUUCUAGUUCAAAAAACCAAAGCUGUUUUGAAUCAUCACUAUAGGAUGAUGGAAGCCAGCAUGUCUCUCUCACCUAAUCUGGUAGUCUCCUUUGUAACAUCAGAUGCUAUUAUAUCAUAGCUUUACCACCCAGAUAGAGGGUUUUCAUUGGUGUAUGUCAGGAGACAGUUGGGGCAGUGUGAGGCUAACGGCUCCUGUCCUCCCCCACAGAGGACUCUAACACCUGUCAUUUAUUAUAUCAGCCACCACCCUUUCCAGUCCCAUGCAGUAAUUAUAUUUACGGUGACAUACAAUCAUCCCCUUUUGCCAGAGAGAAGAGACCACUCCAUGCAGAGAGUUCCUUUUUUCUGUGGCCGUGCUAGCCUCUCCCAGCGGCUCUCUCUUUCUCUCCUUCUCUCCCUCCUGGGCUUCUUUUCUACUCUUGCAGUUAAUGGGCUAAUUAGCGACUUAGCUUUUCCCAGCCCAGGCUGUUCUAGUAAUUAGCCACUUCUUUCCUCAGUCAGGCCCUUUCCAGGGGCACUCAUUGGAUAAAUUGAUAAGGAUGAGUACAAGAGAAUAUCCCAAGCACAUAGGGACAACAUGAGAAAAGCUACAGUAUAAAAGCUACUCUGAAACCUGGUAUAAAAUCAGUUACACCUAGCAAGGGACAUAAAAGACAAUAAGAAGGUCUAUAAAUACAUUAGGAGAAAGAGACCGGCAAAGGCAAGUGUAGGUCCACUACUUAGUAGGGAUGGAGAGCUAAUAACGGAUGGUGCUGAGAACACUGAGGUGUUCAAUGCCUAUUUUGCUUCUGUCUUCACUAAAAAAAGGUUAAUUGUGACCGGGUGGCGAUCCACAAAGGGAUUUAAGCCCUGCGAUGCUCAGCAUCACAGUGCCUAACUUUUAGAUACCUAGAAAACCACAGGAAUACACUGUGAUCCACAAAGUCUGAAUUGGGCAUCGAGGCUCCCAAUACAAUGAAUGGGGAGACAUAGAUGCCUUAAAUAGUGAUUCACAAAAGCCAGCAGGCUAGGCGGGGAACCGCCUAUGCUAGCCAGUAGGAGAUGCUGAUGGGGGAUGGGGUGCUAAGCCCCAUCCAUCUCUUGGAGAUAGGUGCCUAAAUCCAUAUUGCAGGGAGGCUCCUGACUCUGCUUAGCAAUCCACAAACAGGGACCUGCUGCCUGGAGUCAGAUGACUUAGGUGAUUCAGGAGUGUCUUGUGGAAAUGAGUUAGGUGCCUGUCUUGCUCCACACAAUAUGGCCAAAGGGGGAGUGGGGAUCUUCUUAU